RNAcentral lists this long non-coding RNA (20003 nucleotides) under Solanum tuberosum (potato). RNAcentral describes it as "long non-coding RNA (STUB_LNC010418)". The record is from RNAcentral. Lineage: Eukaryota; Viridiplantae; Streptophyta; Magnoliopsida; Solanales; Solanaceae.
CAUCAUUGAGUGGUGACAAUAACAAUAGGGAUUUUGAGUUGAUUGAAUGGAUUUGGUACCCUAACAGUUAUGAAGAGUUCCUGCGGGUUAUCAGUGUUUUUCUUUCUUUUGAGGAAAUUGAAAAUCAAAUAUUUUGAUUUGGGAUAUGGAAGUAGAUGAAAUUGAAGGAAAACGAAUUGGACAGAAAGAGAAAAUCAAUGAAAUUGAAAAACCCUUUUAGGUUAUUGAAUUUUUCAGGGGAUAUGAAACUGGAAAGCAAUUGAAUAUACUAACAUUAAUAGUUUAGAGGGGAAAGAGUGAAAUUGGAAAAUCCUUUUAAUUUCUUGAGAUAUGGAGGUAGAGAAAAUUGAAAGAAAAUGAAUUUGGGAAUUAAAAGGAAAAGAGGAAGAAGAUGAGAUCCGAAAUUGAGAAAAAAGGAAGAAGAUGAGAUCUGAAAUUGCGAAAAGAAAAAAACUAAGGGAAAGAGAGAGAAAGGGAAGAUGGGUUAAAAUGAAAUUUGUGUUAUAGCAUAGAUCAAGUUAUAAAGGAAAUGGGUUAAACGGUGGGGAACUUAAUUUGACGACACAUAGUAAAUUUGGUAUUUAAAAUUUAUAAAAAAUUGGCUAAUAAAAUAUGACGUGUUGUUGUUAUAUAUGACCUCUAUACCCAAUUAACCCGUGGCAUGAAUAAGCCAUAGUCAUAACGAUCAUAGCAAAAGUGGUACCUAAUUUAUCUGCUAUCAACGACAAAUAAAUGAGAAAUUGCCAAGAGAAAUAUAUUCGUAAAAAGGAAAAAUAACUACAAUAAAAUAGUGCACUAAUCAAAGUACAAGAGACAAAUAGAUAGUAAAAAAAUCGAAGGACAAGAAACUAUAGGAGAAAUACUAGGGCUACCGCUAUGGAAGGAUAUGCAAGAGAAUAUUCUACUACCUAUUAACCUUCUAACCUAAUUCUUGUCUUCCACAACCUUCUAUCUAAGGUUCUGUCUAAUCACCUCUCCCCAAUACUUCUUCGGUCUAAUUCUAUCUAUCCUGAAACCAUUCAUAACCCCUCACACUUUUACAUGGGCAUCUGUGCAUUUCCUCUUCAUAUGCUUAAACCAUCACAGUCUCGCCUCUCGCAUCAUGCCCUCUAUUGAGACCACUCCUACCUUAUUUCAGACAUUCUUAAUCUAAUCUCUCAUAGUAUGCCGACACAUCCACCAAAACAUUCUCAUUUCUGCAACUUUAAUCUUGUGAACGUAAGAGUUCUUGACUAGCCAACACUCCGCCCCAUACUCUAACCACCACUCUGCAAUACUUGCCUUUGAGUUUUGAUGACAUCUUCUUAUCACACAAUACUCCAGAUGCGAGCCUACAUUUUAUCCACUCUGCACCAAUACAAUGUGUGACAUUAUCAUCACUUUGUCCAUUCCUUGGAUAAUAGACCCAAGAUACUUGAAUCUUCCUUUCUUUUGAUUGACAUGUGCAUCAAGCCUCACUUCUACUCCACCCUUACAUUAACAUAGCAAUAAAUUGAAGCAGUUCAAUUUAAAAUCUUACGGUAAUUAGUGCAGAUUUUAGAGUGUUUUUCUAUUUCAAAAAAAAAGAUUUUAGAGUGUUUACACACUCAUAAAUCCUAAUCGUAACUUAUCACAAGUGAAAGAAUGUUGUAAAAGAAAAACCCUAAAUUCUCUGACACAAUUAAAUAUAUGUAAACCCCUUUAAAAUCUUCCUGACUUGAUGUGAUACAGUAAAUUUUUAUAAUAAUACAACAAAUUUUGUGUCUAGUUGAUUUGGAGCACAUUCCACUUGUGAAAAAGGUAAAACUUGAAAAUGCAACAUUUUGCUAAGUACUAUCUUCUAUUUUACUUUAUGGUUUGAUUUGGAAUACAUUUCAAUGGUGAAAAAGGUAAACAUCUAAUCAAGGAAAAUGCUAUAGUAGCCUUGAAUUGUUAAUUGCCAUUUAGUAUUUCCAAACCAACAAAACAAAGCAUUUGGCUUGUGUAAAUGCUCUUUGUUUUCCCAGAACUCCACUGUUUUAGAAAUUUUUUUCAUAAAUAAAUCAAUGUGCUUCUUCAGGUCAAUUGAUUUUAUAGUUCCUCAAAUACAAAAUAGAUGAAAACUUUUCUGAACUGCUUUUUUGUUUUGUACUUACACCUUGAAUUUUGUUUUCCUGGAGUCGAAGAAAUCCUAAACUUUCUUCUUCUUUAUUCAAAUUGUAAAUGACUAUGUGACCAUUUCCUAGUUCCAAAUAGCCCAGGCCUAAGUGCAAAUAUAGUAGGAUAAUCUGUGUAUAAUAGACCCUUCUGACCAUUCCCCGGACCUCGCGCAUAGCGACAGCUUAGUGUACCGAGUGCCCUUCUUAAAGAGUUUAUAUCCUAGAUGCGCCCAUCUAAUAAGUCAUAUAUAAAAUGCAUUAUCUUGACCUUAAAGGGAGAUUAAAAAAAAAGAAGGUACCAAAAGUUUCAUCUUUAUUGCUAGUAACUAUGUUUUUCCCUAUGGCCUAAACACAAUUUGCUGUGAACCAAGCUAACUUAGUAAGGGCCUAUGAGUUAGAAGUGGUGAAAAAGAUUGGGCCGAGUAAAAUGUUGGAGCAUUUUAUUUGGGAAUCAGACCCAAUUAGCAUCUGGUUAAAAGGGAGAAGUGGUCUGAAAGAAGGGGUUAUGCUUGUUAUGAAGAAAAUCUUUGUUCCUCUUAUCUUCUUCUAGAUCUAAGUUUCUCAUCCUCAUUCUUAUCUAUAUCCGUAGUUACUUGUUAUUUCAAAUUUUCUAUUGUAAGUCAAUAGUUUAAGUGUUGCCGUUGUAAUUUGGCUAUCAGUGAUUAUAUAAUACUUGAGUAUUUGUGUUGAGAAUUCUAAUUUGUUACAUUGGUGCUUUCCUCCAUCGGUCUCCAACAAUGGCGAUGUUUCUACCUAGAUUCAGCGGCGACGGCAACCCAGAGAGCUGGAUUUUCUGGCCGAUUUGUACUUCACAAAUCUUGGCUUCGACGAGAAUGAUUGUUUUCCACUUCCUUCAUUCUACCUUUAUGGUGAAGCCUAUUUCACAAUAAGCUAAUUUUUGAUUGGAAGCAUUUCAAGGGUAAAUUUGCUCAGUGCUUUCAACAACAAACCAACAACAAUGUAGUGGGGCGUCUAGCUAAUUCAUCACAAGUUCAUUUUUGACUGCGUUAAUUAUGUCCCUAUAGUUUCACAAUCAGCUGUGGUGUCUCCCAGUCAUUUUCCAGCAUCAUCUGCCCUUGAUUUUGCCUAUGAAACUGGUAACUCAAAGGCGGACUUUGUGCUUUAUAAAUUGCCAGAGACGUAUUAACAUGUGGAUUCCUUGGCAUUGAUUACUGGAAGUAAUACUGAGACUGAAGCUCUUAAAGACAGGUACUCACCUCAUACAGGGAAUGCAAAGUCAGUAGAGGGAGCAAAUUUGGUAUCGGGACCUUUUUUCAAUGCUGAAAACAAGGCGUUCGAUGAAAUGUCACACACAACAGUGAGCUUUGAAAUUCAUGAUCUUUAACGCUAUUGUCCAUGAGGGAGAAACUUUGCAACUACAGUGCGACGAUAGCUUCUGUGUAGAUGUCAGCUUGAAUACGAAGGUGCCUACUGCGAUGUUAGAUGAUACGAAAGAAUCUAAUACUGAGGAGGAGGACAACCCAUGAGAUAAUGUAGCUUUGUUUGACAAAUGUCCUAAACGGGAUACAUCGGGGUUUUCUGGUUCCUUUUUCUAGCCAAGGUUCUGUAAUGUUGAAUGUGAGUAUGCAAAUUACUGCAAUCGAAUAUCCAUUUAUGGUUUCUAAUGGGAUCACACUAUUCCUUGUUUGCAUUAUUCUCUUGAAGAAAUGUGUGGGGGUAAACAAACUAGAGUGCCGCCUUACCUUGACUUUAGCUUACACAAAUGCAAUUGGGUUGAUACUGGGCAGGAGUGCAAUCUUCCUUGUUUCUUGUCGUCUAACUUGAGAGGGUGUGGUAGUGAGGAGAAAAUGGAGGAAGUACUCUAGGUAAAUUGUUGUAAGUUCCUCCAAGCAGUCACCAUAUACUUGAGCUGUUAGGCUCUUGUUUGCUAUGUUUGUUCUAGUCCAUAAAGCAAGGGUGACUUCGUCGUAUAUUGUCUUUGAUCCUGGUCCUUUUCUUGAUUAUGUCACAAUCUAUGCAAUAGACUCCACUUUUGGAGAUGGAAAAUCUAUAGAGGAGAGUGCUGUAACAGUACUAUUUGAACGCCCAGGUGUGAAGUUUCCUAUUGGGCAAGUACUCUCUGUGCAAAUUGGUAUCAUUUUUCCAUUAGGAAUCUGAUGUCAUACUAUAGAUGGUUCCUUUUGUAGUCCUGUGGACAAUUGGCUCGACACUGUGCAGGAUGAUAUAGGUGGUGCAUUGAUUGCUAAUGAAUCUUUAAAUUGGUUAUACUGCAAAGUUGUAUGAUUGGGGGUGUGUCGAUGGAGUUGAAAUUGAUAUUCAAAGCUAUGGUGCUUUCAACACUUCUUUUGCAAGUUACAAACUACUAGGAGAGUUUAUAGAGAAUUCAUUGAUGUGUCUUUAUAAUGGUGUUACUACUGUUUUGGUGCAAUUCAAUGCACCAGUGGUACAAUCUGAUAUAUCUGCUAAGACGAACCGUGACAUUCUAAUUUUUUCUCUUGGACAUGAUACUUUGUUGGAUUGGAUAACAAGGCCAGGGACGGAUUCAUUAAGGGAUUUGCCACACUCUACACCUGUUGUGAAGAGUGAAGAGGAAGAUAGUGGUGAAGCGAUUGGCAAAAAGAUGAUAAUUUCUCUAGUGAGGAAAUUGGAAUAUUAUGAUGCUGCUAUACUUAAGAUUCCGACAUUUGUUCAUGUCACAACUACAGUGCGACGAUAGAUUCUGUGAAGAUGCAGUAUGGUCGUGUUGAACUCCUAUUUUGACAUACAACACUCUUUUGAUUUAUACAUUAGGAUUCUUUCUGAAGGGACAAGGACGACCACUACAAAUAGAAAUCAACAACCAUUCUUCUGUCAAACUCGUCACUACAAAGGAUUGAUUUCACCAAAUGUAUUUUUGCUGCCCAACGUUGAAAUGAUGAGGUAUCAUAUUAAAAUCUGUUUGAUCCAUUUGUGAAUCUGGUCAAAGCUAACAGUCUUGUAGAAUAUUAAGUAUCUGUUCAAACCUUAUAGUCUUGAUGAAAUAUGAUGUUUGUCAUUUAUACACAUAUAUAUAAAAAAGUAGCAUACAUGUAUAUGAUACAUAGUGACCUGAAUUAGAUACAUCGAUCUAUUUCCGAAUUAACAUAUCUGAUGCAUCCGUUUUCAGCAUACAUAUAUUGUAAUUUCGGUUUUCUUGUAUCUAUUAGUUGGAUUAGUGAAUAGUAGUGGCUGGUAUUUUUUUUGUUCUCCUACCCGGUGUCCAGCCUCACUCCCUGGGCUAUUUGAACUAGACCAUGGACAGCAGAGGAAAAUAGGCAUGGUGAUCUUCUCAACAAAUAUCUUUAUCUUUCGUAAGAGUUGAUAUGAAGCAUAUUGAAAAGACAAUCCAUUACCCAAUUGGUUCUGGGAUGGUAAGAUUUUUACCAGACCUUAUGUUAUCAUGUAGGUUUGCUGAGGUUUAUAAUAAAUAGUGCAGCUUUUAGCAAGUGUUAUCUGUCUCUGUCCAUCUGCAUUUGGCUCCAAUAAACGUUGGUUACAUUUCUUUGAGUUAUUUGUACCAGUAACUGGUUUAUGAAUGAGUGCUCUUGGAAUAUCCCAUGACUAAGUGACCAUUUCAAUGCACCAGUGGUACAAUCUGAUAUAUCUGCAAAGACGAACCGUGACAUUGUCUUUUUUUCUAUUGGACAUGAUAUUUUGUUGGAUUGGAUAGCAAGGCCAGGGACAGAUUCAUUAAGGGAUUUGUCACACUCUACACCAGGGACGGAUUCAUUAAGUGAUUUGCCACACUCUACACCUGCUGUGAAGUGUGAAGAGGAAGAUAGUGGUGAAGCGAUUGGUAAAAAGAUGAUAAUCUCUCUAGUGAGGAACUUGGAAUAUUAUGAUGCUGCUAUACUUAAGAUUCCGACAUUUGUUCAUGUCACAACUACAGUGCGACGAUAGAUUCUGUGAAGAUGUCAGUAUGGUCGUGUUGAACUCCUAUUUUGACAUACAACACUCUUUUGAUUUAUACAUUAGAAUUCUUUCUGAAGGGACAAGGACGACCACUACCAAUAGAAAUCAACAACCAUUCUUCUGUCAAACUCGUCACUACAAAGGAUUGAUUUCACCAAAUGUAUUUUUGCUGCCCAACGUUGAAAUGAUGAGGUAUCAUAUUAAAAUCUGUUUGAUCCAUUUGUGAAUCUGGUCAAAGCUAACAGUCUUGUAGAAUAUUAAGUAUCUGUUCAAACCUUAUAGUCUUGAUGAAAUAUGAUGUUUGUUCUUUAUACAUAUAUAUAUAUAUAUAUAUAUAUACACAAGUAGUUUUAUAUUUUUCCUUUAUAUUAUAUUUGUUUGUAGGAUUAUUGGUACUUGUAAAUAUGAUACAUAGUGACCUGAAUUAGAUACGCCUUCUGGGUCGAGCUCGUCGCACCAGGCUUGCCUAGUGCGGGUUACCUCUCCUAUGUGGUUUGCGAGCUAUUGCAUAGGAGCGGGGGUUUUACCCUGUGCGCACCCAAAGGGUAGCGGCUGCGGGUUUCCCUUGUCAUCAAAAAAANNNNNNNNNNNNNNNNNNNNNNNNNNNNAUCUAUUUCCGAAUUAACAUAUCUGAUGCAUCCGUUUUCAGCAUACAUAUAUUGUAAUUUCGGUUUUCUUGUAUCUAUUAGUUGGAUUAGUGAAUAGUAGUGGCUGGUAUUUUUUUUGUUCUCCUACCCGGUGUCCAGCCUCACUCCCUGGGCUAUUUGAACUAGACCAUGGACAGCAGAGGAAAAUAGGCAUGGUGAUCUUCUCAACAAAUAUCUUUAUCUUUCGUAAGAGUUGAUAUGAAGCAUAUUGAAAAGACAAUCCAUUACCCAAUUGGUUCUGGGAUGGUAAGAUUUUUACCAGACCUUAUGUUAUCAUGUAGGUUUGCUGAGGUUUAUAAUAAAUAGUGCAGCUUUUAGCAAGUGUUAUCUGUCUCUGUCCAUCUGCAUUUGGCUCCAAUAAACGUUGGUUACAUUUCUUUGAGUUAUUUGUACCAGUAACUGGUUUAUGAAUGAGUGCUCUUGGAAUAUCCCAUGACUAAGUGACCAUUUCCUAGUUCCAAAAAGCUCAGGCUAGUGCAAAUAUAGCAGAAUAAGCUAUGUAUAAUAGACCCUUCCCCGGAUUAGCACAUAGAGGAAGCCCCUUUUAAGAGUUCAUGUCCUAGAUUCAUCCAUCAAUGCACCAGUGGUACAAUCUGAUAUAUCUGCAAAGACGAACCGUGACAUUGUCUUUUUUUCUAUUGGACAUGAUAUUUUGUUGGAUUGGAUAGCAAGGCCAGGGACAGAUUCAUUAAGGGAUUUGUCACACUCUACACCAGGGACGGAUUCAUUAAGUGAUUUGCCACACUCUACACCUGCUUACCAUACCCUCAAAGUUUCUUAAUACAAAUCUAUGGAAAAUUUAAUGUUCAGAAUUGCACUCCAACACAAGUGCAUUCAUCUCUUAAUCUCUUUCCUCCAAUUUUCUAAUCCGUAGAGCCAGUCCACAUACAUAAUCUUGUGCUCUGCGUCCUUCACCAGAAAGAUGCAGUAUAAAAAGAAGUCCACUAGCACCGGAAUCUUCCUCAAAAAGAGGCAGCAAGAGUAGUAUGAGUACAAAAUCAUGCAUACUCCAUUGGCAUCAUAGGCCUACCAAGUCAGAGUUAAUAACUAUAACAUAUAAAGGGAUGUUAUAAGCUCUGCACUCAGAAAAUGUCCCUGUAGUUCAAUAUAAGAUAGUCAAUAAGAAGCAACACAAAGCAAAAGAAUAAUAAAAAUGCAACGCAAUAUAAUGCAAUGCUAAUGACCCUACUAGCAUACACUCCACAGAAAAUGUUGUGAGGUGGGACCCAUGAGGGACCCGUGAGGUCCAUAUACCCUACCUGGACUCGAACCAAGACUUUCGUCGAUUCUAUAAAUUUACUUUCAAGUCAAGCCCUUAGACCACAUUUCACCACUAUAAACAUAUUGCUUUCAAUAAAAUCUUGACAAAUCAACCCCUCAUUAGUGAUAAAAUACCCAAGUUGAGUUUGAGAAAAGUAAGCAAUAACCUACCUUGAAAGUCGAGCAACGUGCCACACAUAGACAUAUAUUUAAAGUACUUCUCUUAGUAGCAUCACAGUUCUAUUAUAAGGGAGGAAUUUUAUCCUUGAUAGCAACGCAGGAACUCUUCAUAACUGUUAGGGUACCGAAUCCCAUUAGCUCAAAAUCCCUAUUGUUAUUGUCACCACUCAAUGAUGGUCCCUCCCCCCUACUUAAUUUCACUUCUGGAGGAUCCAUUCCGGUGUUGAUGAGGUGAGAGUAGAAAUUAAAAAUGUUGAGGAGGAAAUGAAGAAUAUAUCGAAAGUUAUAUGCUUCAUUUCUUAAUCAACAUUUUUAAUCUCUACUCUCACCUCAUCAACACCGGUAUGGAUCCUCCAGAAGUGAAAUUAAGUAAGGGGGGGGGGGGGUGAGUGGUGACAAUAACAAAAGGGAUUUUGAGCUGAUGGGAUUCGGUACCCUAAUAGUUACGAAGAGUUGUUGCGGGUCAUCAGUGUUUUUCUUUCUUUUGAGAAAAUUGAAUAUCAAAAUUUUUGAUUUGGGAUAUGGAAGUAGAUGAAAUAGAACUGGAAAGAAAGAGAAUAUCAAUGAAAUAGAAAAACCCUUAUAGGUUGUUGAAUUUUUCAGGGGAUAUGAAACUGGAUAGCAAUCGAAUAUACUAACAUUAAUAGGUUAGAGGGAAAAUAAUGAAAUUGGGAAAUCUUUUUCAUUUCUUGACUUUUUUGACUUUUUUGAGAUAUGGAGGAAGAGAAAAUUGGAAAUUAAAAGGAAAAGAGGAAGAGGAUGAGAUCUGAAAAUUGAGAAAAGGGAGAAGAUGAGAUCUUAAAUUGAAGAAAAAGGGAGAAGAUGAGAUCUGAAAUUGAGAAAAACGGAGAAAGAUAAGGUCUGAAAUUGAGAAGAAAAAAAGAAGAUGAGGUCUGAAAUUGAGAAAAAAAGGAAGAAGAUGAGAUCUGAAAUUACGAAAAGAAAAAACUAAGGGAAAGAGAGAGAUAGGGAAGAUGGGUUACAAUGAAAUUUGUUUUAUAGCCUAGAUCAAGUUAUAAAGGAAAUGAGUUAAACGAUGUGGGACUUAAUAUGACGACACGUAGUAAAUUUGGUAUAUUUUUUUUUUAAAAUGGCUAAUAAAAUAUGACGUGUUGUUAGAUAUGACCUUCUAUACCCAAUUAAACCGUGGCAUGAAUAAGCCAUAGUAAUAACGAUCAUAGCAAAAGUGGUACCUAAUUUAUCUUCUAUAAAGACAUCAACAACAAUUAAAUGAGAAAUUGCCAAGAGAAAUAUAUUCCUAAAAAGGAAAAAUAACUACAAUAAAAUAGUGUGCUAAUCAAAAGUACAAAAGACAAGUAGAAAGUAAAUAAAGUCGAAGGACAAGAAACUAUAGGAGAAAUAUCAAGGCUACCGCUAGGGGUGUUCACGGGUUGGUUUGGGUAGGUUAUUGGUCAAAACUAAAAUCAAAUCAAUUUAAUUAGUUUUGAAAUUAUCAAAACCAAACCAAAUAUAAUAUACAUUUAUCGGUUUGGUUGUUUUCGGUUUUGGUUUGGUUUGGUUUGGUUCGGUUAUUUCGUUAUUAACCAUACAAGAAAAUAAAAGAAACAAUUCAUUCAAAACGUGAAAAAAUUGACAACAAUCCAUUCAAACGAAAAAAUAGUUAGAAUGACCGGCAUUACAGAACUUUGGAUCAUUAAAUUUACUGAAUAAAACUUCAAAAUUCACUAUUUUGGCAUAGAAGGAAGAGAUAAUGAUAUUUUCAGUCCUACAAUGAAUUUCCAUAGAUACUCAUAUACAUGAAACCAAUAAGAAAAAGGUUCUCACCUUGGACAUUUUUUCUUUCAUAAGUAAAUUAUAAAUAAAUUUUGAUGAAACAUAUAUAAAAUCUUUAAAAUUGUUUAUGAAUAUAAUAUAUUAUGUAUGCAUAAUAAUAAAAUUUAUGUAUAUAACUUGUUGGUUCGGUUCGGUUAUUUCUUCAAAUUUUUUCGAACAAAACCAUAACCAAACCAAAUACUAUCGGUUCUUAACAAUCUAAAACCAAACCAAACCAAAACCCAAAUUAAAUCGGUUCAUUUAAUCGGUUUGAUUUGAUUUUUCGAUUUGAAUCGGUUUUAAUCCAAACCAUGAACACCCCUAAUUAUUUCCAUUAAGUUUUUCACUUUAUUUAAGUCAGUAAUAAUACUUUUGAUACCAUGUUUGUUAUUGACAUAUCUUUAGGCAAGAAUUUUAACAAUUAUGCAUGUGACAUACACAUUCAAGCAAAUCAAUAACCUUCUAUCUAAGGUCAUGUCCUUGGUAUAUUUAUAAGGCAUAUUUUCGCAUUUAUGAGCCAACUUUUAGAAUUUACGCAACUUUCUUGGUUUUUCGUAUGUAUUAACCUAUAGUCCCGUGAUUUUUAAGGCAUAUGCUUGAACCAUCACAGUCUAGCUUCCUGCAUCGUGUCCUUUAUUAAGACCACUCCUAUCUUAUUUCGGAUAUCUUCAUUCUUAAUCGAAUCUCUCAUAGUAUUCCGACAUAUUCACCACAACAUUCUCAUUUUCUCAAUUUUAAUAUUGUGAACGUAAGAGUUCUUGACUAGCCAACACUCCGCCCAAUACUCUAACCACCACUCUGCAGAACUUGUCUUUGAGUUUUGAUGGCAUCUUCUCAUCACACAAUACUUCAGAUACGAACCUACAUUUAAUCCACUCUGCAUCAAUACGAUGUGUGACAUUAUCAUCACUUUGUCCAUUCCUUGAAUAAUAGACCCAAGAUACUUGAUCUUCCUUUCUUUUGAAUGACAUGUGCAUCAAACUUCACUUCUACUCCACCCUUAUAUUAACAUACCAAUAAAUUAAAGCACUUCAAUUUAAAAUCUUAAGGUAAAAGUGUUUACAAACUCAUAAAUCCUAAUAGUAAAUUAUCACAAGUGAAAGAAUGUUGUAAAAGAAAAACCUUAAACUCUCUAACACAAUUAAAUAUGUAUAAACCCCUUUAAAAUGUUAAAGUAGCCUUGAAUUGUUAAUUGGCUAAUUGCCAUUUAGUAAGUCAUAUAGUUCAUCCAUCUAAUAAGUCAUUUAUAUAAUGCAUAAUCUUGACUUGAAAAGGAAAAAAUAAAGAGGGUACCAAAAGGUUCAUCUUUAUUGCUAAAAACUAUGUUUUUCCCUAUGGCCUAGACACAAUUGCAAAAAGAAAAACCAAUACUCUAGUGAAUUAGCUUCAACUACCCUGCACAGACUUCAUAUCAUACCCUUAAAGUUUCUUAACAUAAAUCUAUGGCAAAUUUAAUGAUCAGAAAGUAACAUGGCAUUGCCCUCCAACACAAGUGCAUUCAUAUCUUAAUCUCUUUACCAAAAAUCCAGCUGACAGGAACGGGACUUCGCUGCUUGGCCCUUGCCUGUGCUCUCUCCUCCAAUUUUCUAAUCCUCGGAGCCAGUCCACAUACAUAAUCUUGUGCUCUGCGUCCUUCACCAGAAAGAUGCAGUAUAAAAAGAAGUCCACUAGCACCGGAAUCUUCCUCAAAAAGAGGCAGCAAGAGUUGUAUGAGUACAAAAUCAUGCGUACUCCAUAGGCAUCAUAGGCCUACCAACCAGAGUUAGUAACAAUAAUGUACAGAGGAUGUUAUUAACUGUGCACUCAGAAAAUGUCCCUGCAGUUCAGUAUAAGAUAGUCAAUAAGAAGCAACGCAAAGCAAAACAAUAAUAAAAAUGCAACGCAAUAUGAUGCAAUGCUAAUGACCCUACUAAUCCUCCAAUUUUCUAAUCCGCGGAGCCAGUCCACACACAUAAUCUUGUGCUCUGCGUCCUUCACCAGAAAGAUGCAGUAUAAAAAGAAGUCCACUAGCACCGGAAUCUUCCUCAAAAAGAGGCAGCAAGAGUUGUAUGAGUACAAAAUCAUGCGUACUCCAUAGGCAUCAUAGGCCUACCAACCAGAGUUAAUAACUAUAACGUACAGAGGAUGUUAUAAACUGUGCACUUAGAAAAUGUCCCUGCAGUUCAGUAUAAGAUAGUCAAUAAGAAGCAACGCAAAGCAAAACAAUAAUAAAAAUGCAACGCAAUAUGAUGCAAUGCUAAUGACCCUACUAACAUACACUCCACAGGAAAUGUUGUCAGGUGGGACCCAUGAGGGACUUGUGAGGUCCAUAUACCCUACCUGGACUCGAACCAAGACUUUCGUCAAUAUAGUCUGUCCGAUUCAAUAAAUUUACUUUCAAGUCAAGCCCUUAGACCACAUUUCACCACUAUAAGCAUAUUGCUUUCAAUAUAAUGUCAAUCUUGACAAAUUAACCCCUCAUAUGUGAUAAAAUACCCGAAAUUGAGUAAAACUUGGCAAUGAUGUAAUUUCAAGUCAUCACCCGAGUUAAGUAUGAGAAAAGUAAGCAAUAACCUACCUUGAAAGUCGAGUAACGUGCCACACAUAAAUGCACAGACAUAUAUUUAAAGUACUUCUUUUAGUAGCAUCACGGCUCAAUUAUAAGGGAGUAAUUUUAUCCUUGAUAGCAACGCAGGAACUCUUCAUAACUGUUAGGGUACCGAAUCCCAUCAGCUAAAAAUCCUUAUUGUUAUUGUCACCACUCAAUGAUGGUCCCUCCCCCCUACUUAAUUUCACUUCUGGAGGAUCAAUACUGGUGGUGAUGAGGUGAAAGUAGAGAUUAAAAAUGUUUAGGAGGAAAUGAAGAAUAUAUCAGAAAAUAAUUCUGUUGGAAAGUUUGAGGAAAUCACGUCGUUAGACGUAAAGGACUAUGAAGACCUGGGGUUGAUAAUAGAACUAGAGGAAUUAGGAGAAAGUAGUUUUGAAAAUUCUAGCAUAUAUUUUAAUGUACCAUAUAAGGUGUACAACACUAGCUUUUUCAAAAUUACUUAUCCCUAAUUCCUCCAAUUCUACAAUCAAUCCCAACUCCUCAUAGUCUUUCACGUCUAACGACGUGAUUUCUUCCAGCUUUUCAAUAGAACUAUUUUUUGAUAUAUCUUCACUUCCUCCUCAACAUUUUUAAUCUCUACUCUCACCUCAUCACCACCGGUAUUGAUCCUCCAGAAGUGAAAUUAAGUGGGGGCAGGGGGGAACCAUCAUUGAGUGGUGACAAUAACAAUAGGGAUUUUGAGAUGAUUGAAUGGAUUUGGUACCCUAACAGUUACGGAGAGUUGUUGCGGAUCAUCAGUGUUUUUCUUUCUUUUGAGAAAAUUGAAUAUCAAAUAUUUUGAAUUGGGAUAUGGAAGUCGAUGAAAUUGAAUUGGAAAGAAAGAGAAUAUCAAUGAAAUAGAAAAACCCUUAUAGGUUCUUGAAUUUUUCAGGGGAUAUGAAACUAGAAAUCAAUCGAAUAUACUAACGUUAAUAGUUUAAAGGGGAAAGAAUGAAAUUGGAAAAUCCUUUUCAAUUUGAGAUAUGGAGGUAGAGAAACUUGAAAGAAAAUGAAUUGGAAAUUAAAAGGAAAAGAGGAUGAGAUCUGAAAUUGAGAAAAAGGGAAGAAGAUGAGAUCUGAAAUUGAGAAAAAAGGAAGAAGAUGAGAUCUGAAAUGGAGAAAAAAAGAAGAAGAUUAGAUCUGAAAUCGGGAAAAGAAAAAAUUAAGGGAAAGAGAGAGAAAGGGAAGAUGGGCUAAAAUAAAAUUUGUGUUAUAGCAUAGAUCAAGUUAUAAAGGAAAUGAGUUAAACGGUGGGGGAUUUAAUUUGACGACACGUCGUAAAUUUGGUAUUUAAAAUUUUUAAAAAAUUGGCUAAUAAAAUAUGACGUGUUGUUAGAUAUGACAUUCUAUACCCAAUUAACCCGUGGCAUGAAUAAGCCAUAGUCAUAACGAUCAUAGCAAAAGUGGUACCUAAUUUAUCUGCUAUAAAGACAUCAACAACAAAUAAAUGAGAAACUGCCAAGAAAAAUAUAUUCCUAAAAAGGAAAAAUAACUACAAUAAAAUAGUGUGCUAAUCAAAGUACAAGAGAUAAAUAGAUAGUAAAAAACUCAAAGUUUUAAGAACUAUAGGAGAAAUACUAGGGCUACCGCUAUGGAAGGAUAUGCAAGAGAAUAUUCUACUACCUAUUAACCUUCUAACCUAAUUCUUGUCUUCCACAACUUUCUAUCUAAGGUUAUGUCUUUGGUAAGCUACGACUGCAUCAUGUUCUAUCUAAUCACCUCUCCCCAAUACUUCUUCAGUCUACCUCUAUCUAUCCUGAAACCAUUCAUAACCCCUCACACUUUUACAUGGGCAUCUGUGCAUUUCCUCUUCAUAUGCUUAAACCAUCACAGUCUCGCUUUAUGCAUCGUGUCCUCUAUUGAGAUCACUUGUACCUUAUUUCAGACAUUCUUAAUCUAAUCUCUCAUAGUAUGCCGACAUAUCCACCAAAACAUUCUCAUUUCUGCAACUUUAAUCUUGUGAACGUAAGAGUUCUUGACUAGCCAACACUCCUAGCCAUACUCUAACCACCACUCUGCAAUACUUGCCUUUGAGUUUUGAUGACAUCUUCUUAUCACACAAUACUCCAGAUGCGAGCCUACAUUUUAUCCACUCUGCACCAAUACAAUGUGUGACAUUAUCAUCACUUUGUCCAUUCCUUGGAUAAUAGACCCAAGAUACUUGAAUCUUCCUUUCUUUUGAAUGACAUGUGCAUCAAGCCUCACUUCUACUCCACCCUUAUAUUAACAUACCAAUAAAUUGAAGCACUUCAAUUUAAAAUCUUAAGGUAAUUAGUGCAGAUUUUAGAGUGUUUACACACUCACAAAUCCUAAUCGUAACUUAUCACAAGUGAAAGAAUGUUGUAAAAGAAAAACCCUCAACUCUCUGACACAAUUAAAUAUGUAUAAACCCCUUUAAAAUGUUCCCGACUUGAUGUGAUACAGUAAAUCUUUAUAAUAAUACAACAAAUUUUGUGUCAAGUUGAUUUGGAGCACAUUCCACUUGGGAAAAAGGUAAAAGUUGAAAAUGCAAUAUUUUGCUAAGUACUAUCUUCUAUUUUACUCUAUGGUUUGAUUUGGAAUACAUUUCAGAGGUGAAAAAGGUAAACAUCUAAUCAAGGAAAAUGCUAUAGUAGCCGUGAAUUGUUAAUUGCCAUUUAGUAUUUCCAAACCAACAAACAAAGCAUUUGGCUUGUGUAAAUGCUUUUUGUUCCCCUGGAACUCCACUGUUUUAGAAUUUUUUUAUAAAUAAAUCAAUGUGCUUCCAUCAGGUCAAUUGAUUUUAUAGUUCUUCAAAUACAAAAUAGAUGAUAACUUUUCUGAACUGCUUUUUUGUUUUGUACUUACACCUUGAAUUUUGUUUUCCUGGAGUCGAAGAAAUCCUAAACUUUCUUCUUCUUUAUUCAAAUUGUAAAUGACUUUGUGACCCUUUCCUAUUUCCAAAUAGCGCUGGCCUAAGUGCAAAUAUAGUAGGAUAAUUUAUGUAUAAUAGACCCUUCUGACCCUUCCCCAGACCUCACGCAUAGCGAGAGCUUAGUGCACCGGCUGUCCUUCUUAAAGAGUUUAUAUCCUAGAUGCACCCAUUUAAUAAGUCAUAUAUAAAAUGCAUUAUCUUUACUUUAAAGGGAGAUUAAAAAAAAGAAGGUACCAAAAGCUUCAUCUUUAUUGCUAGUAAAUAUGUUUUUCCCUAUGGCCUAAACACAAUUUGCUGGAACAAAGCUAACUUAGUAAGGGCCUAUGAGUUAGAAGUGGUGAAAAAGAUUGGGCUGAGUAAAAUGUUGGAGCAUUUUAUUUGGGAAUCAGACCCAAUUAGCAUCUGGUUAAAAGGGAGAAGUGGUCUGAAAGAAGGGGUUAUGCUUGUUAUGAAGAAAAUCUUUGUUCCUCUAAUCUUCUUCUAGAUCUAAGUUUCUCAUCCUCAUUCUUAUAUAUUUCCUUAGUUACUUGUUAUUUCAAAUUUUCUAUUGUAAGUCAAUAGUUUAAGUGUUGCCGUUGUAAUUUGGCUAUCAGUGAUUAUAUAAUACUUGAGUAUUUGUGUUGAGAUUUCAGGUUUGUUACAUUGGUGCUUUCAUCCAUCGGUCUCCAACAAUGGCGAUGUUUCUACCUUGAUUCAGCGGCGACGGCAUCCCAGAGAGCUGGAUUUUCAGGCCCAGUUGUACUUCACAAAUCUUGGCUUUGACGAGGAUGAUUAUUUUCCCCUUCCUUCAUUCUACCUUUAUGGUGAAGCUUAUUUCACAAUAAGCUAAUUUUUGAUUGGAAGCAUUUCAAGGGUAAAUUUGCUCAGUGGUUUCAAUAACAAACCAACAACAAUGUAGUGGGGCGUCUAGCUAAUUCAUCACAAGUUCAUUUUUGACUGCGUUAAUUAUGUCCCUAUAGUUUCACAAUCAGCUGUGGUGUCUCCCAGUCAUUUUCCAGCAUCAUCUGCCCUUGAUUUUGCUUAUGAAACUGGUAACUCAAAGGCGGACCUUGUGCUUUAUAAAUUGCCAGAGACGUAUUAACAUGUGGAUUCCUAGGCAUUGAUUACUGGAAGUAAUACUGAGACUGAAGCUCUUAAAGACAGGUACUCACCUCAUACAGGGAAUGCAAAGUCAGUAGAGGGAGCAAAUUUGGUAUCGGGACCUUUUUUCAAUGCUGAAAACAAGGCGUUCGAUGAAAUGUCACACACAACAGUGAGCUUUGAAAUUGUCCACGAGGGAGAAACUUUGCAACUACAGUGCGACGAUAGCUUCUGUGUAGAUGUCAGCUUGAAUACAAAGGUGCCUACUGCGAUGUUAGAUGAUAUGAAAGAAUCUAAUACUGAGGAGGAGGACAACCCACGAGAUAAUCUAGCUUUGUUUGACAAAAGUCCUAAAUGGGAUACAUCGGGUUUUUCUGGUUCCUUUUUCUAGCCAAGGUACUGUAAUGUUGAAUGUGAGUAUGCAAAUUGCUGUAAUCGAAUAUCCAUUCAUGGUGUCUAAUGGGAUCACACUAUUCCUUGUUUGCAUAAUUCUCUUGAAGAAAUGUGUGGGGGUAAACAAACUAGAGUGCCGCCUUACCUUGUCUUUAGCUUACACAAAUGCAAUUGGGUUGAUACUGGGCAGGAGUGCAAUCUUCCUUGUUUCUUGUCGUCUAACUCGAGAGGGUGUGGUAGUGAGAAGAAAAUGGAGGAAGUACUCCAGGUAAAUUGUUGUAAGUUCCUCCAAGCAGUCACCAUAUACUUGAGCUGUUAAGCUCUUGUUUGCUAUGUUUGUUCUAGUCCAUAAAGCAAGGGUGACUUCGUCGUAUAUUGUCUGUGAUCCUGGUCCUUAUCUUGAUUAUGUCACGAUCUAUGCAAUAGACUCUACUUUUGGAGAUGGAAAAUCCAUAGAGGGGGGGGGGGGGGGGGUAACAGUACUAUUUGAACUCCCAGGUGUGAAGUUUCUUAUUGGGCAAGUACUCUCUGUGCAAAUUGGUAUCACUUCGGACGUUUGCAAUAAACUUGGCGCUUAUGUUUGCUGUCAUUUGGGACAUGCACAUUUUUCCAUUAGGAAUCUGAUGUCAUACUAUAGAUGGUUCCUUUUGUAGUCCCGUGGACAAUUGGCUCGACACUGUGCAGGAUGAUAUAGGUGGUGCAUUGAUUGCUAAUGAAUCUUUAAAUUGGUUACACUGCAAAGUUGUAUGAUUAGGGGUUUGUCGAUGGAGUUGAAAUUGAUAUUCAAAGUUAUGGUGCUUUCAACACUUCGUUUGCAAGUUACAAACUACAGAGGAUUGAUUUCACCAAAUGUAUUUUUGCUGCCCAACGUUGAAAUGAUGAGGUAUCAUAUUAAAAUCUGUUUGAUCCAUUUGUGAAUCUGGUCAAAGCUAACAGUCUUGUAGAAUAUUAAGUAUCUGUUCAAAGCUAAUAGUCUUGAUGAAAUAUGAUGUUUGUUAUUUAUACAUAUAUAUAUAUAUAUAUAUAAAAAAAAGUAGCAUACAUUUAUAUGAUACAUAGUGACCUGAAUUAGUUACAUCUAUCUAUUUCCGAAUUAACAUAUCUGAUGCAUCCGUUUUCAGCAUACAUAUAUUGUAAUUUCGGUUUUCUUGUAUCUAUUAGUUGGAUUAGUGAAUAGUAGUGGCUGGUAUUUUUUUUGUUCUCCUACCCGGUGUCCAGCCUCACUCCCUGGGCUAUUUGAACUAGACCAUGGACAGCAGAGGAAAAUAGGCAUGGUGAUCUUCUCAACAAAUAUCUUUAUCUUUCGUAAGAGUUGAUAUGAAGCAUAUUGAAAAGACAAUCCAUUACCCAAUUGGUUCUGGGAUGGUAAGAUUUUUACCAGACCUUAUGUUAUCAUGUAGGUUUGCUGAGGUUUAUAAUAAAUAGUGCAGCUUUUAGCAAGUGUUAUCUGUCUCUGUCCAUCUGCAUUUGGCUCCAAUAAACGUUGGUUACAUUUCUUUGAGUUAUUUGUACCAGUAACUGGUUUAUGAAUGAGUGCUCUUGGAAUAUCCCAUGACUAAGUGACCAUUUCCUAGUUCCAAAAAGCUCAGGCUAGUGCAAAUAUAGCAGAAUAAGCUAUGUAUAAUAGACCCUUCCCCGGAUUAGCACAUACAAAAGGUUCAUCUUUAUUGCUAAUAACUAUGCUUUUUCCUAUGGCCUAAACACAAUUGCAAAAUUUUAUACAAAUCUAGUGAAGUAGGUUUAAACUCCACUGCACAGAUUUCAAACCAUACCCUCAAAGUUUCUUAAUACAAAUCUAUGGAAAAUUUAAUGUUCAGAAUUGCCCUCCAACACAAGUGCAUUCAUCUCUUAAUCUCUUUCCUCCAAUUUUCUAAUCCGCGGAGCCAGUCCACAUACAUAAUCUUGUGCUCUGCAUCCUUCACCAGAAAGAUGCAGUAUAAAAAGAAGUCCACUAGCACCGGAAUCUUCCUCAAAAAGAGGCAGCCAGAGUAGUAUGAGUACAAAAUCAUGCGUACUCCAUAGGCAUCAUAGGCCUACCAACCAGAGUUAGUAACAAUAAUGUACAGAGGAUGUUAUUAACUGUGCACUCAGAAAAUGUCCCUGCAGUUCAGUAUAAGAUAGUCAAUAAGAAGCAACGCAAAGCAAAACAAUAAUAAAAAUGCAACGCAAUAUGAUGCAAUGCUAAUGACCCUACUAACAUACACUCCACAGGAAAUGUUGUCAGGUGGGACCCAUGAGGGACUUGUGAGGUCCAUAUACCCUACCUGGACUCGAACCAAGACUUUCGUCAAUAUAGUCUGUCCGAUUCAAUAAAUUUACUUCAAGUCAAGCCCUUAGACCACAUUUCACCACUAUAAACAUAUUGCUUUCAAUAAAAUCUUGACAAAUCAACCCCUCAUAAGUGAAAAUACCCGAGUUGAGUUAGAGAAAAGUAAGCAAUAACCUACCUUGAAAGUCGAGCAACGUGCCACACAUAAAUGCACAUAGACAUAUAUUUAAAGUACUUCUCUUAGUAGCAUCACAGUUCUAUUAUAAGGGAGGAAUUUUAUCCUUGAUAGCAACGCAGGAACUCUUCAUAACUGUUAGGGUACCGAAUCCCAUCAGCUAAAAAUCCUUAUUGUUAUUGUCACCACUCAAUGAUGGUCCCUCCCCCCUACUUAAUUUCACUUCUGGAGGAUCAAUACUGGUGGUGAUGAGGUGAAAGUAGAGAUUAAAAAUGUUUAGGAGGAAAUGAAGAAUAUAUCAGAAAAUAGUUACGAAGAGUUGCUGCGGGUCAUUAGUGCUUUUCUUUCUUUUGAGAAAAUUGAAUAUCAAAAUUUUUGAUUCGGGAUAUGGAAGUAGAUGAAAUUGAAUUGGAAAGAAAGAGAAUAUCAUUGAAAUAGAAAAAUCCUUAUAGGUUCUUGAAUUUUUCAGGGGAUAUGAAACUGGAUAGCAAUCGAAUAUACUAACAUUAAUAGGUUAGAGGGAAAAUAAUGAAAUUGGGAAAUCUUUUUCAUUUCUUGACUUUUUUGAGAUAUGGAGGUAGAGAAAAUUGGAAAUUAAAAGGAAAAGAGGAAGAGGAUGAGAUCUGAAAUUGAGAAAAAGGGAAGAAGAUGAGAUCUGAAAUUGAGAAAAACGGAAAAAGAUGAGGUCUGAAAUUGAGAAGAAAAAAAGAAGAUGAGGUCUGAAAUUGAGAAAAAUGGAAGAAGAUGAGAUCUGAAAUU